AGACAGCGUCGCAAACGCACUGAUUCGA
Molecule: small RNA, 28 nt
Filed under: Bombyx mori (domestic silkworm)
Lineage: Eukaryota; Metazoa; Arthropoda; Insecta; Lepidoptera; Bombycidae
Description: ovarian small RNA-11820
Source: RNAcentral